GAUUCAUUGGGCGUAAAGGGUGCGUAGGCGGCGCGGUAAGUCGGGUGUGAAAUCUCGGAGCUUAACUCCGAAACUGCAUUCGAUACUGCCGUGCUUGAGGACUGGAGAGGAGACUGGAAUUUACGGUGUAGCGGUGAAAUGCGUAGAUAUCGUAAGGAAGACCAGUGGCGAAGGCGGGUCUCUGGACAGUUCCUGACGCUGAGGCACGAAGGCCAGGGGAGCAAACGGGAUUAGAUACCCCGGUAGUCCUGGCAGUAAACGGUGCACGUUUGGUGUGGGAGGAUUCGACCCCUUCUGCGCCGGAGCUAACGCGUUAAACGUGCCGCCUGGGGAGUACGGUCGCAAGAUUAAAACUCAAAGAAAUUGACGGGGGCCCGCACAAGCGGUGGAGUAUGUGGCUCAAUUCGAUGCAACGCGAAGAACCUUACCAGGCCUUGACAUGCAUCUCUAAGUUGGUGAAAGCCAGCGAGUCCCGAAAGGGACAAUUUGCACAGGUGCUGCA
RNAcentral lists this ribosomal RNA (502 nucleotides) under uncultured Verrucomicrobiota bacterium. RNAcentral describes it as "bacterial SSU rRNA". It matches the Rfam family "Bacterial small subunit ribosomal RNA", at positions 548 to 1045 of the family's 1533-position model. Lineage: Bacteria; Pseudomonadati; Verrucomicrobiota. The record is from RNAcentral.